AUUGAACGCUGGCGGCAGGCCUAACACAUGCAAGUCGAGCGGACGAAGGGAGCUCGCUCCUGGAUUCAGCGGCGGACGGGUGAGUAAUGCAUAGGAAUCUGACUGGUCGUGGGGGAUAACGUACGGAAACGGGCGCUAAUACCGCAUACGUCCUGUGGGAGACAGUGGGGGAUCUUCGGACCUCACGCUAUCAGAUGAGCCUAGGUCGGAUUAGCUAGUUGGUGAGGUAACGGCCUACCAAGGCGACGAUCCGUAACUGGUCUGAGAGGCUGAUCAGUCACACUGGAACUGAGACACGGUCCAGACUCCUACGGGAGGCAGCAGUAGGGAAUAUUCGGCAAUGGGCGAAAGCCUGACGCAGCCAUGCCGCGUGAGUGAAGAAGGUCUUCGGAUUGUAAAGCUCUGUUAGUAGGGAAGAAGAGAAGUAUGUGAAUACCUUGCUGUUUUGACGGUACCAACAGAGAAAGCACCGGCUAACUUCGUG
This 484-nucleotide ribosomal RNA is filed under the name uncultured bacterium. Its description in RNAcentral is "partial 16S ribosomal RNA". It matches the Rfam family "Bacterial small subunit ribosomal RNA", at positions 30 to 507 of the family's 1533-position model. The record is from RNAcentral.